RNAcentral lists this long non-coding RNA (661 nucleotides) under Homo sapiens (human). RNAcentral describes it as "non-protein coding LINC01135:11". Lineage: Eukaryota; Metazoa; Chordata; Mammalia; Primates; Hominidae. The record is from RNAcentral.
GUCUAGUGACGGUGGCUGCCGCGAGCGGGCGGACGCUCGCAACCUCUGAUGGAGGGGGGCUCAAGUUCACGGCUGCGGACGGGGAUGCGGGGGAUGCAGGGACCCGGGAGGCCAGGGAACCUGGCCAGUUGUUUUGGGCCAGGGGUGCGGGCGAGGGGUGGUUGUUGUUUCCCCACUUGUGGGGCCCGAAGUCAUCCACCGGCGGCCGCCACCGCGCGGGGCUGGAGGCUGAGAAUCCAAGUACGCUGCCACCCCCCCGCACUUCCGGGGGGGCGGGAAUACCGCCCUUAAGGUGGCUCUGUGAAGUCCCAGGUGGGGGCGAGCCUAAGGGGACUUAAGUUUAGGGGCGGUCUCCCGAGAGUCGGCCCCCCACGUUGAGAACACUCCGAAGUUUGCAUCUCGGUCAAGUUCAGGAGCGACGGUCCGCGGGGUCGUCUGGCUGCUCGUAGAAGCCGAGAGAUUUGUAUUGCCCGAAACUGGACGCUCAGCUGAGUCUCCGUUGCACCCCACUUCAUCCUCCGGGACCGUGGGGGAAAGGGCGCGGGGGUUCACAGCUUUGCCUCGGAGGGGCAGUUUUUAUAGUGGGCGCAAUUGGUGGGUAACAGGGUCCAGAUGGGAACAAGCGUGUAGGCGAUCCGAAACUCGGGGAACCCCGGUGUUA